CCGUAUAUUUAUUUUUUGGAUAGUAUGAAGAAGAGAGAGAGAGAGAAAUGGGGUUUAACGCCCACUCCACACAAACUAGGUCAUUUCGGGACUAACAAAAGGAUCAUUUGUCAGACUGUGAUUUUAUAGAAGUUUAUAAGUUGCCAAGAAGUCAGUUUUUUCGACUACCAUAUUGGAAGCAGGGGCAGAUAAUUCGAUCAUCACGCCUGUACUGAUUCCACAGAGACAUGACCGCAUCACCGUUAUAAUUGUGCUUGAUGAAAAUGUCCAUAGACUGUAGUUCAUAUAUAUGUAAUCACAUCAUCAUAUAAUCACAAAUAAUCACAUGACUAUUGGGAGGGGAGAGAGCUUGGGUGGUUAAAAGACUGAACCAGUUAGAACCUCGCGUGGAUCUAGAUGUAAACUCCAUUCCAUUCAAAGAACACAGUUUUUAUGGAAUACAAUCAGUAGUUUUAUUCUUAUCAUUAUCAAGCACAAUGACAUUUAGUAAACUUGAAGUCAAUAUAAUGAAAUUGAUAGUGAAACCAUUUACAUAGAUUAAAUAACAGUGACAAAAAGAAUCAAAAGGGUAAAGGAUUUUUAACUGGACCCUUAAGUUUUAAUCCUUGUGGCACAAUGUUACUGUCUCUGCAUCUGUCUCUGCAUCUAUGAAUUUCAUAUAAUAUACUGACCUCAAAUUUUUAGAAUAAAACUGUGAUUGUAUCCCAUAAAAACCGUGUUCUGUUAAUGAAUUUGCCGUUCGCUAAAUUACCUUUUCUGGUAAUUUUUUCGAGAAGAAAAUAACGGCAAAGUUGACUAAAAUGCGUAAUAAAACAAGAAUAAGGGUAUUGCAAGCUAAUACAGAAUUGAGAAAUAAAUUGACGAGGAAGAUAUUAGGAUAAUUUUGUAAACAGUGUUAAUCCAGAGAGGCGUUCCUAUUGUAUUGAAAAGUGGGUGGAGUGAACCCCGCCACACAAAUAUUCACGCCUGGAUAUAAAUGUCUGCUAAUUUUGCUUAUGGACCUUUUGGAAUGAUGGAGGUGGAAAUCCCAGAACGGGGAUCGAUGACCCGACAACACAGCUAAGUAACCCUCGGAAUCUCCGUGACAAGAAUCCAUAAAAUAUAUUAUGAUUAACGAUCACCAUGAUAAAGGAUCAUGAUUAAGUAUGUUAAGAUGCCAUAAAAUAUCAUUUCAUAUAGUUAUCACUGACGUCAUCAAACAUGACAUUUUCUUUAUUGUAGAUUUUUUAAUUAAACGUAUCAAUAUUACUGUAUAUUAAAUAUCAUGUAUUAUUAUUUAAUAUACACCUGUGCUCAAGUUACGAUCACACAAGUUCGUGUUACGUUAUCUAAUUAAUAAAAUAUAAAAAUGACUAGAGUAAAAAAAUAAAAUUCUUCAUUUCUUUU
Patella vulgata (common limpet) is the source of this 1386-nucleotide long non-coding RNA. RefSeq lists it as uncharacterized. The transcript is spliced from 2 exons. The record is from RefSeq and is a predicted model, not a curated record. Lineage: Eukaryota; Metazoa; Mollusca; Gastropoda; Patellidae.